RNAcentral lists this ribosomal RNA (756 nucleotides) under Notomastus sp. 1_ST2018. Its description in RNAcentral is "partial 28S rRNA". It matches the Rfam family "Eukaryotic large subunit ribosomal RNA", at positions 391 to 969 of the family's 3401-position model. The record is from RNAcentral. Lineage: Eukaryota; Metazoa; Annelida; Polychaeta; Capitellidae.
AAGAGUACGUGAAACCGUUCAGAGGUAAACGGAUGGGACCGCAACCUCCCCCGCGGAAUUCAACCUUGGGCUGGCUCGUCCGGCCGGCGUCCCGAUCGCAAGACGGGGCCCGGUCGGAGCGGGCGGUCCGGGGCGCAUUUUUCGCGGGGGGAAGUCACGACCGGUUCGUCGUCGGUCAGAAGCCCGGUGGGAAGGUGACCUCCUCCGGGAGGUGUUAUAGCCCGCCGGCGUGUUGGCCCGAUGGCGGACCGAGGGACGCCCGCCGCGACGCCCCGCCCCCGCUCCGCGUGCCCGUUCGACUGGGAGGGACUGUUCUCAGUGCCUCUCGACCGCGGGUGCGCGAGGGUCGGGGACCGCCUCCGCCGCCUUCAGGGUCUGUGGCUGUCCGGUCGGCUCCCUAUCCGACCCGUCUUGAAACACGGACCAAGGAGUCUAACAUGUGCGCGAGUCACGGGGUUCUACGAAACCUAAGGGCGCAAUGAAAGUGAAGGUCCACUUUUCGGUGGACCUAGGUCGGAUCCCUUCCCUCGGGAGGGGCGCAGGACUGGCCCGUCUCGGAGGCAUUGUUCUCGAGGCGGAGCAAGAGCGUACACGUUGGGACCCGAAAGAUGGUGAACUAUGCCUGAGUAGGACGAAGCCAGAGGAAACUCUGGUGGAGGUCCGUAGCGAUUCUGACGUGCAAAUCGAUCGUCAAACCUGGGUAUAGGGGCGAAAGACUAAUCGAACCAUCUAGUAGCUGGGUUCCCUCCGAAGUUC